This 399-nucleotide ribosomal RNA is filed under the name uncultured bacterium. Its description in RNAcentral is "bacterial SSU rRNA". It matches the Rfam family "Bacterial small subunit ribosomal RNA", at positions 28 to 421 of the family's 1533-position model. The record is from RNAcentral.
GACGAACGCUGGCGGCGUGCUUAACACAUGCAAGUGGAGCGACGAACCGGGGCUUGCCCCGGGGCAGAGCCGCGAACGGGUGAGUAACACGUGGGUAACCCACCCCGAUGACCGGGACAACCCGAGGAAACUCGGGCUAAUACCGGAUGUGCUCCUUGACCUCGAGGUCAAGGCGUAAAGAUAGCUUCGGCCUUCGCAUCGGGACGGGCCCGCGGCCCAUUAGCUUGUUGGUGGGGUAACGGCCCACCAAGGCGACGACGGGAGCUGGUCUGAGAGGAUGAUCAGCCACAUUGGGACUGAGACACGGCCCAGACUCCUACGGGAGGCAGCAGUGGGGAAUAUUGCGCAAUGGCCGCAAGGCUGACGCAGCGACGCCGCGUGUGGGAUGACGGUCUUCGG